This 328-nucleotide ribosomal RNA is filed under the name Aspergillus sp. BAB-3906. Its description in RNAcentral is "eukaryotic LSU rRNA". The stretch from base 1 to 99 matches the Rfam family "5.8S ribosomal RNA", at positions 56 to 154 of the family's 154-position model. The record is from RNAcentral. Lineage: Eukaryota; Fungi; Ascomycota; Eurotiomycetes; Eurotiales; Aspergillaceae.
CGAUACUUGGUGUGAAUUGCAGAAUUCAGUGAAUCAUCGAGUCUUUGAACGCACAUUGCGCCCCCUGGUAUUCCGGGGGGCAUGCCUGUCCGAGCGUCAUUGCUGCCCUCAAGCCCGGCUUGUGUGUUGGGUCGCCGUCCCCCUCUCCGGGGGGACGGGCCCGAAAGGCAGCGGCGGCACCGCGUCCGAUCCUCGAGCGUAUGGGGCUUUGUCACAUGCUCUGUAGGAUUGGCCGGCGCCUGCCGACGUUUUCCAACCAUUCUUUCCAGGUUGACCUCGGAUCAGGUAGGGAUACCCGCUGAACUUAAGCAUAUCAAUAAGCGGAGGA